GGCUACGUAGCUCAGUUGGUUAGAGCACAGCACUCAUAAUGCUGGGGUCGGUGGUUCAAGUCCACCCGUAGCCACCA
RNAcentral lists this transfer RNA (77 nucleotides) under Alkalilimnicola ehrlichii. Its description in RNAcentral is "tRNA-Met". It matches the Rfam family "tRNA". From Rfam's summary of the family: Transfer RNA (tRNA) molecules are approximately 80 nucleotides in length. The record is from RNAcentral. RNAcentral also lists the same sequence under 5 other names. Lineage: Bacteria; Pseudomonadati; Pseudomonadota; Gammaproteobacteria; Chromatiales; Ectothiorhodospiraceae.